This 387-nucleotide ribosomal RNA is filed under the name uncultured bacterium. RNAcentral describes it as "bacterial SSU rRNA". It matches the Rfam family "Bacterial small subunit ribosomal RNA", at positions 335 to 713 of the family's 1533-position model. The record is from RNAcentral.
ACUCCUACGGGAGGCAGCAGUGGGGAAUAUUGCACAAUGGGCGCAAGCCUGAUGCAGCCAUGCCGCGUGUGUGAAGAAGGCCUUCGGGUUGUAAAGCACUUUCAGUCGUGAGGAAGGUAGUGUAGUUAAUAGCUGCAUUAUUUGUACGUUAGCGACAGAAGAAGCACCGGCUAACUCCGUGCCAGCAGCCGCGGUAAUACGGAGGGUGCGAGCGUUAAUCGGAAUUACUGGGCGUAAAGCGCAUGCAGGUGGUUGUUAAGUCAGAUGUGAAAGCCCGGGGCUCAACCUCGGAAUAGCAUUUGAAACUGGCAGACUAGAGUACUGGUAGAGGGGGUAGGAAUUUCAGGUGUAGCGGUGAAAUGCGUAGAGAUCUGAAGGAAUACCGGU